AUUGAACGCUGGCGGCAUGCCUUACACAUGCAAGUCGAACGGCAGCACGGGAGCUUGCUCCUGGUGGCGAGUGGCGAACGGGUGAGUAAUGCAUCGGAACGUGCCCUGAAGUGGGGGAUAACGUAGCGAAAGUUACGCUAAUACCGCAUAUUCUGUGAGCAGGAAAGCAGGGGAUCUUCGGACCUUGCGCUUUUGGAGCGGCCGAUGUCGGAUUAGCUAGUUGGUGGGGUAAAGGCCCACCAAGGCGACGAUCCGUAGCGGGUCUGAGAGGAUGAUCCGCCACACUGGAACUGAGACACGGUCCAGACUCCUACGGGAGGCAGCAGUGGGGAAUAUUGGACAAUGGGCG
RNAcentral lists this ribosomal RNA (349 nucleotides) under uncultured bacterium. RNAcentral's name for it is "bacterial SSU rRNA". It matches the Rfam family "Bacterial small subunit ribosomal RNA", at positions 30 to 377 of the family's 1533-position model. The record is from RNAcentral.